GCCGCCCUCCUGCUCCUCCUCCUGCUCCUCCUCCUCUUCGUCCUCCUCCUCCUGCUCCUCCUCCUCCGGCCUCAGGGCAGGCCCGGCCGGGACGGGCGGCGGCCGGAUGCCGGAGGCGCUCAACGGUCAGCGGCCAGGGGCGGCCCCGACCCCUCCGCCACAGAGGCCACACGGGAAGAAGAUCCACGGGUUCCAGUUUUCGGAGGAAGAUCCGGGAAUCUACUUCCGAACGGUUCAUCUGCCUUUGGAAACACUUGGGUUAAAGACAGUUAACAACAAGCAGUUAAGAUAGAUAGAGCGCAAUGUCAGCAGGGGAACAGCAACAGGAACAGUUGUCCCAGCCAAAUCCUUCCCCGUCAACAAAUUCAUCCAGCUCCUUUGAGCUAAUCGACAUGGAUGCUGUCAAUCUCUAUGAGCCGGUUUCACCUCACUGGUUUUAUUGUAAAAUAAUCGAUUCCAGGGAGAUAUGGAUUCCAUUUAACAGCGAGGAUUCACAGCAACUGGAAGAGGCAUACACUUCUGAAAAAGACUGUAAUGGGAGAGUUGUUCCCACUGACGGAGGCAGGUAUGAUGUGCAUUUGGGAGAGAGAAUGCGGUAUGCCGUUUACUGGGAUGAGCUACCAUCUGGAGUGAGACGUUGUACUUGGUUUUUCAAAGGAGAUAAGGAUAAUAAAUACGUGCCCUAUUCAGAGGGUUUCAGCCAAGUGUUAGAGGAAACUUACAUGCUUGCUGUAACUCUGGAUGAAUGGAAAAAGAAACUUGAAUCCCCGAACAGAGAAAUCAUUAUAUUACACAAUCCAAAGCUGAUGGUUCAUUACCACCCAGUGCCCGGGGCUGACGAAUGGGGCUCAACGCCUACAGAACAGGGUCGGCCUAGAACUGUGAAGAGAGGGGUCGAGAACAUCUCCGUUGACAUCCCUUCUGGUGAGCCGUUGCAAAUAGAUCAUCUGGUUUUUGUAGUUCAUGGAAUUGGACCGGCUUGCGACCUUCGGUUCCGAAGCAUCGUACAGUGUGUUAAUGAUUUUCGUGGCGUUUCCUUGAGUAUGAUACAGGCGCACUUCAAGAAAGCCCAAGAAUUGCAACAGAUUGGGCGGGUAGAGUUUCUUCCUGUGAACUGGCAUAGCCCUUUGCAUUCCACUGGCGUGGAUGUAGAUCUCCAGCGAAUCACCCUGCCCAGCAUUAAUCGCCUCCGGCAUUUUACUAACGACACCAUCCUGGAUGUCUUCUUCUACAAUAGCCCCACCUAUUGUCAGACCAUCGUGGACACGGUUGCUUCGGAAAUGAACAGAAUAUACAAACUCUUCCUGCAGAGGAACCCUGAUUUCAAAGGGGGCGUAUCCAUCGCCGGUCAUAGUCUAGGGUCUCUUAUAUUGUUUGAUCUCCUAACUAACCAGAAAGAUACUCCGGUGUCUAACGACAGCAGUAAGGGUUCUGUCGAUGUUAUGUUGGAUCAAGGAGAUGCCCUCUCUCUGGAGGAAGACUUGAAGAAACUGCAGCUCUCUGAAUUCUGCAGUAUCUUUGAGAAGGAGAAAGUGGACAAGGCAGCUCUGGCUUUAUGCACGGACCGGGAUCUUCAGGAAAUGGGAAUCCCCUUAGGUCCAAGAAAGAAGAUCUUAAACUAUAUUGGGAGUAGAGGUAAUGCCCAGAGUGGUAAACCGAGCCAGCAAUCAUCUCCACCGGAAGGCCAGGUAGAUGGAGAGAGUUUACUUAAACACCAAACAGAAUCGGGGUCCGGAAAUAACGAGUAUCUGGAUGUUGGCAUCGGGCAGGUCUCUGUGAAAUAUCCCCAGCUUGCAUACAAACCAGACAUCUUCUUUGCCUUCGGAUCUCCCAUUGGCAUGUUUCUUACUGUCCGAGGGCUGAAAAGGAUUGAUCCCCAAUACAGACUUCCAACGUGUAAAGGUUUCUUCAAUAUUUAUCAUCCUUUUGACCCUGUGGCAUAUAGGAUUGAGCCCAUGGUGGUCCCAGGGGUGGAAUUUGAGCCUAUGUUGAUCCCCCAUCAUAAAGGCAGGAAACGGAUGCAUUUAGAGUUGAGAGAAGGCCUGUCUCGUAUGAGCAUGGAUCUCAAGAACAACCUGCUAAGCUCUUUGCGAAUGGCCUGGAAGUCUUUCACCAGAGCCCCCUACCCAGCUCUGCCAGGCACAGAAGCUGCCAGCACAGAUGAAGCGGACUCGGAGCCUGACGCAAGCCCAGAGAAGUCUAGCGACGUUAAAGCGGAGGAGCCUCCCUUGGAAGUGAAGGAAGAAGUUGCACCUAUCAACGUGGGCAUGCUGAACGGGGGCCGGCGCAUUGACUACGUCCUGCAGGAAAAACCCAUCGAAAGUUUUAAUGAAUAUUUAUUUGCAUUACAAAGCCAUCUCUGCUACUGGGAAUCUGAAGAUACAGUGCUGCUGGUUCUCAAAGAAAUCUACCAAACCCAGGGAAUCUCCCUCGAUCAGCCGUCUCAGUGAAAUAGACUGACCCUUCGACCCAUGUGGCUGCAUAAAGUGAGCUCCCAGCUGUCUGCUGUUUAGGGAGGGCAGUUUGCCCCGAUGUCCUAUUAAGAUUACGUAAGAGCCUCCAGAGCCCUUAGCAGGGAAGCUAUUGGUGUACCCCCCAAAGAAUCUUUCCAUGGAAAAUCCCUUGCUGCUGCUUUCUCAUUUGUGUUCGUCCCACAUGUUGCCUGCCAUCUCCUCUCCACCGGGGACUUUACCAGAUACGUUUCCUCUCUGGGCAAAGGAAUGUGUUUUGGAGGGAGCAGAGGAGAGAUUCAUCGCUUUCCCCCCAACCAGUGAAAGCAUCUCUGCUUCCCACCGACCAAGGCAUCUUUCUGGUGGAAUCUAGAUCAAUUCUAAAAUCACUCUUUCCUCCCACUUUAGCACCAGUGUACUGGUUGUCUACCGGUAAAAGCCUGUCCUAGGUUUUAUCGGUACUGAGUGGGAUCUAAUUUUUCCUUUGAAAGGAGCUUGUGACUCAUGAUUUAGGUGCAGUAAGACCCUAUGGUCUAGCAAAUCCAAGAGGAGGAUGGACUAGGGAAUACAAAAAUGGCCUUUGUCCUUGAGUUACCGUGCACGGGGGACUUGAGUGUUCGGUUGAGCCGGAGGUCUUUCGGCAAGUGGUUAUUCAUCAAAUUUUGGUGUGCACGGUGGACUUGUGAAUCUUCACUGAAGCUUAAAGAUUAGCGUCUCAUUUCCUUUCUUUACAGUUAGGUGGGAGUGGCCACUACUGUUAGGAACCACCGCCGCCAUUGAACUUCGCCCUGCACGGCAUCUUCUGUUGCAGGGGUUCUUCGAUUAGAGACCUGGAGAGGAAAGGGCCAGUGAUGGGCAGAAUUAUUAGAUGCAUCCAGGAAAAGGUGCCACGGGUACUCUAGCCUGACCUGUCCCACUGCCCCUUCUGCCCAGCUCUAGACGAUUGCUUUGGCAUGGCCGUUUCCUGUGACAUUCCCCUCGCACCUUUGAAUUGGGUCACGUUGCAAAAACUGACUUCCUCUUCUUUUGAAGAUAUGCAUGUUCCUGUUGGAUCGUGUCUUGUUUAUUAGGCUACUGAUUCCCUAACAACCUCACUAGGCAAGCUGUGAGGAUCAAACAAAACUCUUCUCUCUGCCAAACCCCUUCGAGUCAUGCUAUUGUGAUACCGAUUGCCAGAUCCAACCACAUGGUUACCUUGUUUUAUUUAUAAACAUUGUUGCCUUUCCUCCUCCCCGCCUGCCCAGGUAUUGUUAGGAGAGGUUCCGGGCUGAGCUUGUUGACUGAGCAACAGUUUUGCUUCUAAGGACCAAGCAGUUAACCACUGCAGAACCAUAGCGCUGGUUGAGCCCGAUGUAACAAGGAACACAGGAAAGAGGAGAGCUGGAAAGGCCCACAUCAAAGCCCACCGACAGAAGAGGGAGGAGAAGGCUCCCUGGCUGUUCAGCUGGGGGGAUGAAAAUGAUUAUAAUGGCCACUGCUCACUGAUCCUCUUUGGAUGGACUCCUAGGAUUCUCCUGCCUCUUGUGUCCAGGAGGGCUUAGUAAGUAAACAGAGAUAGAGGUGGGCUUUAAAAAGAAAUAUAUUUCAAUUGCUUUACCACCUUAAGUCACAGCUUGGUACUUUUUUCAUCUGGGCCACUGCAAGGGCAGAAGCAGUCUAACGCCUCUACGGGGGGCGAAGGCACAAAAGCGGGUUAGCCAGCCCGCGUCCUGACACGUCAUGAAUAAACAGAGCAGAGCACAAUAGGGUGGGGCAGAGCUGACGGAGGGAAUUAGAAUAACUGCAGCAACGGGCUUCUGUUUUAGAUGACGUAAUGUGCAAUUUCAGUUUGAAAAAUGCGGGGGUGAAGGUCCAAAGAAGCACCGAGUUACAGAACAAGCUCAGGCGCUACAGUAGGAGGAGGUAACGGUUUAAGAGCAGAACCAAAUGGGAGGCGAAAUGAAACCUCUGUAACCAAAGAUGGAUAGGAGCGACAUGUCUGUGUCUGUAGCAGAAGGGGAGGGGGAUGUGUGAAACAGCUUUAGACCACGUCCUACUCCUUGUGAUAUAUAAGAAGUAAUAAGCAUUUAUCUGUACAAUGUUCUCAGCCUUCCAUUUCCACCCCACUUUAUUUUCGAUUGUAUAUUAUUUGCACUAUUUAAAAUGCAUUGCGUGCACUCUCUCGACCAAGCCCGAAAAGCUCAUUUAGUCUAUUUUGAAACUCCCCAGUACGGUGAUAUCUGCAUACUCCUUGCUACAACAUGAAUAUCGUCUAGCUCAUCAAAAGGAACUCUUUGCACAGAACGAUUAAUAGCUCUGACCAGCUUGUCAAAUUUUUGCACUUUCGAAAUGUUUGUUUUUUACAUGUGAAUUUAUUUAAAAUCUUUAGUACACCCUGAAAUAAAAUCCCCCCGCUCACCGA
RNA transcript from Ornithorhynchus anatinus (platypus), 4851 nucleotides. It is a transcript of the gene named DDHD domain containing 2, with no coding region annotated. The record is from RefSeq and is a predicted model, not a curated record. NCBI's taxonomy places the organism in Eukaryota, Metazoa, Chordata, Mammalia, Monotremata, Ornithorhynchidae. The transcript has 19 exons.